Molecule: ribosomal RNA, 564 nt
Filed under: Triticum aestivum (bread wheat)
Lineage: Eukaryota; Viridiplantae; Streptophyta; Magnoliopsida; Poales; Poaceae
Description: partial small subunit ribosomal RNA
Source: RNAcentral
AUGCAAAUUAAGUACGUAAUACGUUCGCAAGUGGAAAUAUUUGCCGUAGCCUCGAAGAAACGCAAUCAUGAUGCCGCCUUGUGUGAAAUCGCACUCCGGGGCCGGGAGAUGGAUGGGACAUGCGAGCUAUAUCCGCGAGUGCGCCACUUAUCAUUGGUGGCAGGAAAGCUGUCUGGUCGUGCUGGCUCGUCUCGUGAUCGCCGUCCGGUGGUUGGUUGCUGCGACAGCGCCACGGACGAUGUAGUGCUGAGGAGGGAUGAGAGUUCAGUCUUCAGACUCGACUUGUGUCCUGUAACUUGCAAGUGCACGCUACGUGCUUCCGCGUCGUUGCUCUUGCAUGUCGAUCGAACAUGCCCAUCCAUGCCCAAGCUAAGGUUGGAGCUGACUACUGUGGUUCCAGCAGCUGCCGUUUGGCCAGACAGGAUGAAGAUGAACUGGCAAGGUUGCUUGCCCGAAAGUCCAAACACAGCGCACAUCAGGAAGUUCACACUUCACAGUGAAGCAGUUGACCCUGGACGAAUGAUUGCACCACGGAAACUAGCACUGAUCAUUCAAGAAACUUGA